Molecule: long non-coding RNA, 883 nt
Organism: Dalotia coriaria
Lineage: Eukaryota; Metazoa; Arthropoda; Insecta; Coleoptera; Staphylinidae
Exons: 5
Source: RefSeq, a predicted model, not a curated record
CGCACGUCAGUAUGAAUUCGUCCGUUGCUUGGAGCCCGUGACUCGUCGUUUUAUUCAUAACUUUUUUAAAUAUAAACAACACUGUUUGUACUUCGUUUUCUGUUAAACUAAAGUUUUUGUACUGUAAUUUAUUCGUUUUCUAAAUAGAUGUUAUUGCCAAGAUUUCGCGAAGCAAAUAUUGUGCAAUCAUUGUAUUUGCCGAUUUUGAAGAUGUAGUAUCAUAAUUUGAUCUUGGGCUUAACCAGGUCAAAAGGUAGUACUAGAAUAGUCACAGCAUACAUUAAAAUUAAGUUGAAUUAAAUCCUUUACGCUUGUCAAUCCGGUUCCCCCACAGAAAAAUGACAGAUUUGAAAGAAAUACUGUACGCAAUUACAGAUUUCUACAAAAAUUGGUAUUUGCCAUUCCUUGGAGUCCAUGAGUCUUGCAUUGCAAUUGCCUUCGAGUUCCGAUGCCCGAGUCACGAGCUAAAUUAGAAUGCGAAUUUCAUUCGCUUCGUCGUUCGACUCCCGAUUUAAAAUAAAAUAAAUAUUGACACCUUCCCACAUUUCCCUUAACAAUGUCAUUUAUUUCACAGAUUUUAUCAUCUUCAACAAUAGUCUUGAGUGUUACAUCGAGUGAAAUACUGGUAUGUGGUAUGUGUAACUAAGUGUUUGUUUUGUACUUAUCCCCACGUGCUGGUAAUAUGUACGUCUUUUUAAUCAUUGAGCGCGAGCUGGGCGUCACACAAACUCGAGCGGGGUGUCUAGAGUUGUAGAAUUAAAUUCUCCGUCGGGUUGUAUUUGUUUGCGGUAGAAGUGACUCGAUUCAGGGCACCUUACGAGGCCAGCGGUAAAAGUGACUCGUGUUCAGGGCACCGUAUGAACCCGGCGAAAAUUUUCAUGAA